This is a long non-coding RNA of Boleophthalmus pectinirostris (great blue-spotted mudskipper), 2979 nucleotides long. RefSeq lists it as uncharacterized. The transcript is spliced from 2 exons. The record is from RefSeq and is a predicted model, not a curated record. NCBI's taxonomy places the organism in Eukaryota, Metazoa, Chordata, Actinopteri, Gobiiformes, Gobiidae.
UGUGUGUGUGUUGAGUGUGUGUGUGUGUUGAGUGUGUGUUGAGUGUGUGUGUGUUGAGUGUGUGUUGUGUGUGUGUGUUGAGUGUGUGUUGAGUGUGUGUGUGUUGAGUGUGUGUGUGUGUGACAGGUUUGGAGGAUUCUCAUGUUGGUGUGGUUUGGUCACAGCUUCUGUCAGUAGAAGUGACACUUUUACUCUGAUCAAGAAGCAAUUUGAAGAAAAGGAGAAAACAGUUUUAAAUCCACAGACAUGGACAUCACACUGGGAGAGUUCUGUCCACAAGUCACUUCAAGUCUUCUCUGUUCACACUUACGUCACAAACCAAGAAGACGUUUGGAAAGAUGGGAUUAAAGCUCUCCAGGCCCAGUUGUCUUCAUCUCCGUGUCGUUGGAGUGUUCCGUUCUGUUCGGCUCAUCAACAGUUCCAACCACACCUCAGUUUUCAUCUUUUCCUCCCGGACACACAGCUCUGACUGCACUGCUGCAUGUGAUUAGAAGAGAUGAGGGGCUCAAUUCCAGCACAUGCGUCUGCAGUCUCCAUCACAUUUCCUUCAGUGGGUUUGAUCACAGUCGGGUGAGUCCAGCGUUGGGAAAUACACCUGAAGUCGUCAUCGCGUGUUUCCAAACGUCUUCCUGGUUUGUGACAUGAGGGUGAAUAGUCUAUUUACAAAUACUUUUCUGAUGCUGUACAAAAAUGUUGCUAGGUAAUAGUUCUGGAUUUCCCUAGUGUGAUGUCAUGAUUUCCAGGAAGUCUUUUGAAAACUAAAAAUAGCUCAUAUGUGAUCUUAAGUGUGUUGUAAUAUUCACUAGUCGGGCCUGUCGUGGGCACUUUAACAUCCACUCAGAUCCCACUCCUGACUUGAGCUCAUGAGUCAGGUCAUGUGUGGACCUGAGCCUUUAUCUUUUGGUUUCUGCUUUGAGUUGGAGCGUUAUUUUGAACUUUUCUUUCAAAAACAUUUCCACACAACUAGAACUUCUCCGUUAUUAUGGCUUAGGACUUGACAUUGGAAUUCUGGAUGUCCUUUUUUUUCAUUUUUGGAAAUCUUCUGACUUCAGAAAGAACAUUUAAUAUUAAGUCGUUUUGUAUUUUUGCUCUCACAGAAUUUUUGAACUACAUGGCCUGUACCUCAAUGCUGUUUUAGCUCAGACAGGAUGAGAGGAUGAGCUGCGUUCACUCUUUCACACGUGUGUCCAGUGAACAUGGGGAGUUUGAUGUCUCGUCCAGGCCUGUGUGAUCAUUACUGCAGCCACUUGUCUUUCAGUGUAUGAAAGAUGGAACUAUUUUGGGGUUCAAUAUUUAUCGUGUGAUCUCGUUCCAAAUAGGAAGUGUUCAUGGAGGCACUUCCAGCUCCAUUCACUCCAGGUCCAGUUCACUUAGUAUUGAAAAAAUACUCCUCUCUUUAACUGCUGCUGUGACCCUUGUUAUUUUCACUUCAGAUGUUCACAUUAAGUCCCUCUACAUGAUCCUGGGGUUUUAUUUCUCUAUUCUGUCCAUAAAUAAAUUCCUAUUCCUAAUAAAAAUCCUCCUCCUCCAAACGGAGGAUCUUAAAUAUAUUAUUUAGAUGAGAUUAAAUGACAAAUUGUAAUCUGAAAUUUGCACUUUGAAUUAAAUUUUCACUUUUUCUUCUAAAAAUGCUUUUUGUUUUUGAACAAAGACUUAAUUUUCCCCUUGAAUAAACUGGAGAACCGGAGAAGUGAGAAUGAACAAACACACAGUGAAGCAGUUUUGAUCAGAUGGAACAUUUCUUUAAAGUGAAUCGUGUCAUUUAUUAAUGGACUUCUAAUGCUCAAAGCUCAGGCUUUUUAACAGAGUUUAAUGACAUUUGCUUAGGAUGUAAACUGUAGCUCUGAAAGUGGUUUCCCUCUGGAGAUGUUUUAAUAAUAGACCUUAUUAUACACUGUGACUGCGUCGACAAAUCACACUAAACUCAAACUGAGCUGAGUUUGUUCUUCCAGCGCUGCUGUCAUGUCACUAAAUGAGCAAACACAUGAAAACUAGAGAUGCAUCCAUACAAAUACUGAAGUAGAAAAUACUUCAUUGAGCUGUUAAUGGUGAAGAUCGGGUAUGAGCACAUACGUAGAAUCAUAGGAUCAAUGAUGGAAUCAGAAGUGAAUGUGUGCAUCUCUACUUAAACUAUGCAUGAGUGUAAAAUCUCCUCUUUGUGUUCUGUUUAAAGAGUUUUGGACAUGUUUCACAGUGAGCGCUGAGACCACGAUGAGAACAUGACAGACGCACAAAAAUAAACACUUCUCUAAACAAACGGUGUGCCCUUAGAAAAAAGAAUUCAUACAUUUGUGGAAAUUUGUACAUUUGACUUUUGAAAUGUUUUAAUAUUUUGUGCAAAUACAAAAAUCAAGCACUAUUUUCAAGAGGCAUUUAAAAUGACUAAAGUCUUUUAUAAAGUAUGAACUAUUAUUCAUGAAGACAUUACUUUGGAGAAAUUUAGACCAGUAAACCCAAACUGUACCUGAGAUUUGUAUUUUCGACUGAAAUGACAAAAAGAAAGAGCGUGGGGUUAAAGGGAAUCUUGAGUUUAGUUGAAAUGUAUAAGUGUAAUAGUUUUGUGGCUGCAGAACGUUUGGCAGUAACUUCCUUAAUUCCACUAAAUGUGUUGCUUUUGUGUUUGGAACUAUUGGUUUGUAAAAUGAAUGUGUAUAUAUGAAUUGGGGCAUAUGGAUUUAUUUGUAUAGUUUUGGAUUUUGAAAAUAUGAUGCCAUUUCAGAAAUGUAACUUUAACAUUUGCAGCUUUUUAAUAACGUAGAAACAUUUUGGACUUUUCUUUCUUUUAAGAGCUGUGGAGAAACGAUAUAAAGGAGCUGCUUUGAUUCUCAGCUGCUCAUGUGUUGGAAACAGUGACAUUCUGAAACAGCUGAGACUUGUAGUUUAUGUUUUGUCUGUAGUUGAAUUCAAGUUGAAAUGGCUCCGACUGUAAACAGCAAUUUGUACUAAAUCUGCCCUGUGCAUAAACGUGAUUCUGACAAA